AACGAACGCUGGCGGCAGGCUUAACACAUGCAAGUCGAGCGCCCCGCAAGGGGAGCGGCAGACGGGUGAGUAACGCGUGGGAACGUGCCCUUUGGUUCGGAACAACUCCGGGAAACUGGAGCUAAUACCGGAUAAGCCCUUCGGGGGAAAGAUUUAUCGCCAAAGGAUCGGCCCGCGUCUGAUUAGCUAGUUGGUGGGGUAAUGGCCCACCAAGGCGACGAUCAGUAGCUGGUCUGAGAGGAUGAUCAGCCACACUGGGACUGAGACACGGCCCAGACUCCUACGGGAGGCAGCAGUGGGGAAUAUUGGACAAUGGGCGCAAGCCUGAUCCGGCAACGCCGCGUGAGUGAUGAAGGUCUUCGGAUUGUAAAGCUCUUUUGGCAGGGACGAUGAUGACGGUACCUGCAGAAUAAGCUCCGGCUAACUUCGUGCCAGCCGCCGCAGUAA
This 447-nucleotide ribosomal RNA is filed under the name uncultured bacterium. RNAcentral's name for it is "partial 16S ribosomal RNA". It matches the Rfam family "Bacterial small subunit ribosomal RNA", at positions 29 to 523 of the family's 1533-position model. The record is from RNAcentral.